UCCAUCAGGUUCCACGACCCUCUGCUCGCUGAGCCCGGCGGCUCUCCCGCGGCUCCUCCCGCGUGGCAUAUCUGGGCGCCCGACACCCGGUCAGGGCCAGCUGGGCCUGUCCCCCAACCCCGUCUACACCGCAGGCCCCGGGCUAGGAGCCGCGGGACCCAGGGUUGGGGUCCCAACAGACACCCGCCCGUGCCGCGGAGCGGGCUUCUCGGUAAACAUCGCUCAGAGAACAACGCGCCUCUAUCCCAGCCGGUCCCCGCCCGCGGGCCGCCGGCGCUGUCACCUCGCGGCUGCCCGGUCACCCGAUCGCCAAGCCAGAAACCGGAGUUUUCAAUUUCAUCCUCACAGGAGGGAUCUCCGAAGAAGUUGAAAUAUGCAUUGUCACCAACAAGUUUAACUGGAGACCGCACGUCCUUCCCUCCUCCCCAGCGCCGCGACCCUCCACGCCCUCCCGUAACCCCACGGCCCCCACGAGCAGAGCGCGCCCCCCGAUUCGCGCCCGAGGACGCGUCCGGUUGCCCAGGGAGGCCACCCUGCAGGGCCGCCCGCCGGGAAGUGGCCAGAGCCGGGGUGGGGGUCGGCCCGAGCGCAUGCGGGGGGCUCCGAGAGCUGCUCGACCCCGGAACCCCGAGCCGGGUCCCUGCCCGCCAGCAGCGGGCGACCCGAGCGCCCGGGGGAGCGGCGAGGGGCGCGCGAGGCUUCCCGAAGCCGCCCCGCGCCCAGGCACCCGCGCAGCCCCGAACUCAGGCGGCGGUGGCACGAUCGGCGCCCGCGAGGGAGUGCAAAGCCCGAGGACGACCCCGCGCCCCCGCCGGCCUCCAGGGCCCUGCCGCCCGAGGCGCUCCCCGCAGCCGCCUGCCUACCUGGCUCGCAUGGCGUCCCCGCGGGCUCCUGCGGCUCCGCUGGUCGGCCGGCGGCUCGGCCCAGCUGGGGCGCGCGGCUCCGCGGGACUCACGGCGGCGGCGGCGGCGGUGGUGGCGAGGGGCCCGGACCGCCGAGAGUGCCGGGCGCGCUGGGCCCCCGCCUCGCCGGGCGGAGGGUGGUCCCGCGCCGGGGCGGGGGCGGGGCGGGGCGGGGCGGGGCGGGGCGGGGCGGGGCGGGGUCGCGGGGGGCGGGGCCGGGACCAGAGCGGAGGCCGCGGAGGGUGGUCUCGCGCCGGGGCGGGGCUUCGGGAGAGGGCGGGGCGGGGCGCGGCCGCCUGAGGUUGGAGAGCGUGGGGCGGGCUGGGGUGGUGCCGCGGCUCCGGGUCCCGGCGGAGAUGCAGUCUGGGCGCCUUCUCUUGUUACUCCGCCCGGAGCCGGCCAGGGUAGCGGGGUCCUGGCCACCCGGCAUCCCCAGGUCUGGGUCCCCGGUACCGAGCAGGUCUGGGUGCUGGCUCGCGCUCCUGUGCUCCCCCGCACCCCCAUCUCCCACCCCUUCUCCGGGAACCCCUAG
RNAcentral lists this long non-coding RNA (1434 nucleotides) under Macaca fascicularis (crab-eating macaque). RNAcentral describes it as "lncRNA (ENSMFAG00000051407.1)". Lineage: Eukaryota; Metazoa; Chordata; Mammalia; Primates; Cercopithecidae. The record is from RNAcentral.